GCAUGUAUUACAUUUUAUAAUUAAUAAAGUAAUUUAUAUUCAUACAAUAAUAUAAGAAUGCUUUCUAACUAUAUUAAAAUACUAAAAUACGCUUACGGCUUAUCUCGGAAAUAUCCUUAAAAGCCGGUUUUCCACUUCGCCGGAUCAUACCGAAACGUAUUGGUGAACAUGCGCAGAUCAGUGAAAUGAGGUUUAUAAAUCCACGUACAUCCGGGUAUAUUCGCGUAUCAAAAUGAAAAGUUCGUCUCAAGUCAACUUUUUGGCGUACUACGGAAGUACUAACCAAUCAACAUUCACGAAAUUUAAAACUUUUUGAUACGUUUCGGUACGGUACGCUUGAAGUGGAAAACAGGCUUUACACUAAACUACUGAUAUAUUAUUGAUUUCGUGCGUACUUAAGAAACCUUUCUUAUAAUGACGUCAAACGCGGAAAAACACUUAAUGCAAUAUAAAAAAAAGGUUAGGGUAGGGUCAAUGGUCAAAAGGUUAGGUUAGGGUCAAUGCAAAUUAUGUUUUGUAUGAAAUUUAUUGGCUCGCCAACGAUUUGCAUUGACCUGUGGGACAAUGCAUAAAUUCAUUUUCCAUGUUAGACGUCAUUAUAAGAAAGGUUUAUUCAAUCAUGCAUUAGAGAUUUUCAGUGGCAACAGCUCAUGCUAUAUGUAAAUUUUUAAUGCCGAUUUGCAUUAUUCAAACCUUUACAAAUGUACUAUUUUCAACUAUUUAGAUGCAAGGUUUAAUAAUUUCUUAUUAAUUAACCGAGCCCGAGGUCUUUACAGAGAAAUAUCGGAUCGAGGUCUUUUUUGUACAGACCGAGUCCGUAGGGCGAGUUUUGUACAAAAAGACCGAGUUCCGAUAUUUCUUUUGACAUUCUUUGCAAAGACCGAGCAAGUGAGGUUAAUAAAAAG
Paramuricea clavata is the source of this 905-nucleotide non-coding RNA. Lineage: Eukaryota; Metazoa; Cnidaria; Anthozoa; Malacalcyonacea; Plexauridae. The record is from the annotation of a GenBank genome assembly.